This 255-nucleotide ribosomal RNA is filed under the name uncultured bacterium. RNAcentral describes it as "partial 16S ribosomal RNA". It matches the Rfam family "Bacterial small subunit ribosomal RNA", at positions 524 to 776 of the family's 1533-position model. The record is from RNAcentral.
UACGGAGGAUCCGAGCGUUAUCCGGAUUUAUUGGGUUUAAAGGGUGCGUAGGCGGCCUGGUAAGUCAGGGGUGAAAGACGGUAGCUUAACUAUCGCAGUGCCCUUGAUACUGCUGGGCUUGAAUGUAGUUGAGGUAGGCGGAAUGUGACAAGUAGCGGUGAAAUGCAUAGAUAUGUCACAGAACACCAAAUUGCGAAGGCAGCUUACUAAAAGUAUGAUUGACGCUGAGGCACGAAAGCGUGGGGAUCAAACAGG